This 609-nucleotide ribosomal RNA is filed under the name uncultured bacterium. RNAcentral describes it as "bacterial SSU rRNA". It matches the Rfam family "Bacterial small subunit ribosomal RNA", at positions 338 to 948 of the family's 1533-position model. The record is from RNAcentral.
CCUACGGGAGGCAGCAGUGAGGAAUAUUGGACAAUGGGCGCAAGCCUGAUCCAGCCAUGCCGCGUGCAGGAUGACGGUCCUAUGGAUUGUAAACUGCUUUUGCACAGGAAGAAACAACGCUACGUGUAGCGUCUUGACGGUACUGUGAGAAUAAGGAUCGGCUAACUCCGUGCCAGCAGCCGCGGUAAUACGGAGGAUCCAAGCGUUAUCCGGAAUCAUUGGGUUUAAAGGGUCCGUAGGCGGUUUAGUAAGUCAGUGGUGAAAGCCCAUCGCUCAACGGUGGAACGGCCAUUGAUACUGCUAGACUUGAAUUAUUAGGAAGUAACUAGAAUAUGUAGUGUAGCGGUGAAAUGCUUAGAGAUUACAUGGAAUACCAAUUGCGAAGGCAGGUUACUACUAAUUGAUUGACGCUGAUGGACGAAAGCGUGGGUAGCGAACAGGAUUAGAUACCCUGGUAGUCCACGCCGUAAACGAUGGAUACUAGCUGUUGGGAGCAAUUUCAGUGGCUAAGCGAAAGUGAUAAGUAUCCCACCUGGGGAGUACGUUCGCAAGAAUGAAACUCAAAGGGAAUUGACGGCUGAGAGAGCGAGACGACGACGAGGGAGGAGG